CCCGGGCGUCUGCAUUUUGUUUUUAUAUUUUUCAUUUUAUUUUGUUUUAUAUUUACUGAUUUUUGUUUGUGAAUCUUUUCUUUAAGCAGAUCUGCACAUCGGAAAUUACAAGCAUUACACGUCGGCGAGAAAAUUGUUGUAAGUGAGUUUCUCCGCAUUGAAAUGGGUUCUGGAGGAAACACUUGUGGGGACAAUUAGAAACGAGAGUCCCUGUUUAAAAAAGGAUUCAGCGAGGUAAUCCAAACUCAAGUUCUUGUUUCUUUUUGAGAUGACGUCAUUUUGCUGAGUGUGGAAACUAGAUGCGACGACAGGUUUCACUAUCAGCAAAGAACGGAUGAAUGGAUGAAAGACUGGGAAUAAAAACAAACGGACUGACUGGUAAAAGAUGACAAGACUUGACCAUGACUCAAGGUUAACCACCUCCACCUAGAUAGGAUAAAAGGGUGGAUGAAUUUAUGUGGGUUUCUUUUACAGGAGUAGAAGGAUGACAAAAUAUUCGAGGAUGAGUGAACCUGUAAAUGCCAUUUUUGUGUCUUGUGUAGCUUACAGAGGUAACUGCGCAGCGUUACCAUUUACAUUUUCUUCCCUACAGGGUUACAGUUUUAAUGUUUUUCUAUUACAGGAUUUCUGGGCGGAUGUGUGAAGAAACGGUGUUUAUGGGUUAGGAGUUGGGGAUGCUAUUACACUGUAUUUACAGGAAAUGUUUUAUAGCACCUAUGGAAUGAGGAUGCCUGACUACGGUCAAUGUGCUGCUAAUGUUUGCUUUGCUUUGGUGAGAGGGGUGCAGUAGAAAACAGACAAGUGACAUGAAAACAAGUAAUAAUAACAAAUAACAAAUUUGGGGACAGUUUGACCUAGAGCCCACUAACUGGCCAUUAGGGGCUCUCUCUCUCUCUCUCUCUCUCUCUCUCUCUCUCUCUCUCUCUCUCUCUCUCUCUCUCUCUCUCUCUCUCUCUCUCUCAGAACACGCCCUUGGCGAGGUGGGGGGAACUGGACCACCUUUCUGUGCCCCAUCAUCCUCUAUUAGACGACAUCCAAGCUAAGUAAACAUGUCUUGGCCCUUUCCCCCUGAAAUGACAGGCAGGCAAAGAUGUUGCGUCUUUCUUUGCUUCCUGGCCCUGGGUCUCAUUCCCAUUGGCAUAAUCCUGAUCUGUGAAGGGCCCCCGACACUUCUGACACCUUCAAGUUCAAAAGCUUCGCCCCCUUCUGACAGUCCCAAUCUGACAAAUGUAGCCCCUAGGGUCUUGCCCACCACUUCCUCUCCAGUUUUACCAUAUUCACUUUUGAAUGUCCUUAGCAGUUACCGUUCUGAGUUUAUUUUACGGUUGAUUUAUUCUUUCACAUUUUCACGUUUAUAUCUCUCAUUAUUAUAGUAUACUCUGUACUCUCCACAUUUUUAUCAUUACUUAUGCUUUUUGGUUGCUGAGUUACAGGAACUGUUAAUUUUGUGUCACUACCCUGGUUGCACUAACUCGUUGUACCCUUGUGUGCAGGACAGCUGUUACUGCUUUCGUCGGGAACCGAGACUGCUUGCAGCCGACCCCUGGGCAGGGUGGUGCCUGGACUCUUUUCUCCUCAUCUGCAAUGACAGAUAAAGACAAAUGAAAAGACCCGAGGAGUUUUUCGAGCCAGGCUUCGACACGUCUCUGUGUUCCUUUGAAUGUUACUUAUUUUUGUGUGUUGACCCAUUUAAGAUGGGUCAAAAGGGGGAUUUGAAGAAAAUAUAAUCUGAUCAAACAUUAUUCAGCUUUAAAUAUUGUUCAGCUUUAAAGUUACUGUGCAACUGUGUAAUAAAAAUAUGUGCUCACGACUUUGGCC
Long non-coding RNA from Astatotilapia calliptera (eastern happy), 1818 nucleotides. The record is from Ensembl. Lineage: Eukaryota; Metazoa; Chordata; Actinopteri; Cichliformes; Cichlidae.